CCUACGGGUGGCAGCAGUGAGGAAUAUUGGUCAAUGGGCGCGAGCCUGAACCAGCCAAGUCGCGUGAGGGAAUAAGGCCCUACGGAUCGUAAACCUCUUUUGCCGGGGAGCAAAAGCCGCGACGCGUGGCGUUCCGAGAGUACCCGAAGAAAAAGCAUCGGCUAACCCCGUGCCCGCAGCCGCGGUAAUAAGGAGGGUGCGAGGGUUAUCCGGAUUUAUUGGGGUUUAAGGGUGGGUAGGCGGGAGUUCAAGUCAGCGGUAAAAAUGUGGGGCUCAACCCCGUCGGGCCGUUGAAACUGGUGUCCUUGAGUGAGUGAGAAGAAGGCGGAAUGCGUGGUGUAGCGGUGAAAUGCAUAGAUAUCACGCAGAACCCCGAUUGCGAAGGCAGCAUACCGGCGCUCUACUGACGCUCAUGCACGAAAGUGUGGGUAUCGAACAGGAUUAGAUACCCGUGUAGUC
RNAcentral lists this ribosomal RNA (459 nucleotides) under uncultured bacterium. RNAcentral's name for it is "partial 16S ribosomal RNA". It matches the Rfam family "Bacterial small subunit ribosomal RNA", at positions 338 to 795 of the family's 1533-position model. The record is from RNAcentral.